RNAcentral lists this small nuclear RNA (23 nucleotides) under Arabidopsis thaliana (thale cress). RNAcentral describes it as "snRNA_16590". Lineage: Eukaryota; Viridiplantae; Streptophyta; Magnoliopsida; Brassicales; Brassicaceae. The record is from RNAcentral.
AGUCCAUCAGAUGUGAUUGGGAC